UGUGUAGGCGGUUGUUUAAGUUUGGUGUGAAAUCUCCUGGCUUAACCGGGAGGGUGCGCCGAAUACUGAAUGACUAGAGUGCGGGAGAGGAAAGUGGAAUUCCUGGUGUAGCGGUGAAAUGCGUAGAUAUCAGGAGGAACACCGGUGGUGUAGACGGCUUUCUAGACCGUAACUGACGCUGAGACACGAAAGCGUGGGUAGCAAACAGGAUUAGAUACCCUGGUAGUCCACGCCCUAAACGAUGCAUAUUUGGUGUGGGCAGUUCAUUCUGUCCGUGCCGGAGCUAACGCGUUAAAUAUGCCGCCUGGGGAGUACAGUCGCAAGGCUGAA
Molecule: ribosomal RNA, 330 nt
Filed under: uncultured bacterium
Lineage: Bacteria
Description: bacterial SSU rRNA
Rfam family: Bacterial small subunit ribosomal RNA
Source: RNAcentral